RNAcentral lists this ribosomal RNA (449 nucleotides) under uncultured bacterium. RNAcentral describes it as "bacterial SSU rRNA". It matches the Rfam family "Bacterial small subunit ribosomal RNA", at positions 28 to 476 of the family's 1533-position model. The record is from RNAcentral.
GAUGAACGCUGGCGGCGUGCCUAACACAUGCAAGUCGAACGAACCUGAUCUUCGGAAAAGGUUAGUGGCGCACGGGUGAGUAACACGUAGGUGACCUGCCCCGGAGUGGGGGAUAACUUCUCGAAAGAGAAGCUAAUACCGCAUAGGCUCGAUCAUUCAUUUGACCGAGUAAAGUUCCGGCGCUUCGGGAGGGGCCUGCGUCCGAUUAGCUAGUUGGUGAGGUAAUGGCUCACCAAGGCUAUGAUCGGUAGCUGGUCUGAGAGGAUGAUCCGCCACACUGGAACUGAGACACGGUCCAGACUCCUACGGGAGGCAGCAGUGGGGAAUUUUGGACAAUGGGCGCAAGCCUGAUCCAGCCAUGCCGCGUGAGUGAAGAAGGCCUCGGUUGUAAGACGUCUUUCGUCCGGGACGGAAAGUACGCACGGGUUAAGUACCUACGUGUGGAGUGA